Molecule: long non-coding RNA, 159 nt
Filed under: Cricetulus griseus (Chinese hamster)
Lineage: Eukaryota; Metazoa; Chordata; Mammalia; Rodentia; Cricetidae
Description: lncRNA (ENSCGRG00000025511.1)
Source: RNAcentral
AAAAGAGAAGAUCUAAUAGAUAGAAUGCUGGGAUUAAAGGCUGUGAUCCCAGGUCCUGAAAUCAUCUUUGUGCCAUUCCAGAUACCAGUAAAAUUCCUUUCCUGUCUAUCUCUGAGAGUUCGGACUUUACAAGAGGCAUUCAUUCUCCAGCCUCAUUGA